ACGAACGCUGGCGGCGUGCCUAACACAUGCAAGUCGAACGUGAAAGUCCUUCGGGAUGAGUAAAGUGGCGCACGGGUGAGUAACACGUGGAUAAUCUACCCGACGAUCUGGGAUAACAUUCCGAAAGGGGUGCUAAUACCGGAUAAGCCCACGGGAUCUUCGGAUUCUGCGGGAAAAGGGGGGGACCUUCGGGCCUUCUGUCGUCGGAUGAGUCCGCGUACCAUUAGCUAGUUGGUAGGGUAAUGGCCUACCAAGGCUACGAUGGUUAGCUGGUCUGAGAGGAUGAUCAGCCACACUGGAACUGAGACACGGUCCAGACUCCUACGGGAGGCAGCAGUGGGGAAUUUUGCGCAAUGGGGGAAACCCUGACGCAGCAACGCCGCGUGAGUGAUGAAGGCCUUCGGGUCGUAAAGCUCUGUCAGAGGGAAAGAAAUGUAUUAUGGCUAAUAUCCAUGAUACUUGACGGUACCCUCAAAGGAAGCACCGGCUAACUCCGUGCCAGCAGCCGCGGUAAUACGGAGGGUGCGAGCGUUGUUCGGAAUUAUUGGGCGUAAAGCGCGUGUAGGCGGUCUUUUAAGUCUGAUGUGAAAGCCCCGGGCUCAACCUGGGAAGUGCAUUGGAUACUGGGAGACUUGAAUACGGGAGAGGGCAGUGGAAUUCCUAGUGUAGGAGUGAAAUCCGUAGAUAUUAGGAGGAACACCGGUGGCGAAGGCGGCUGCCUGGACCGAUAUUGACGCUGAGACGCGAAAGCGUGGGGAGCAAACAGGAUUAGAUACCCUGGUAGUCCACGCCGUAAACGAUGAGUACUAGGUGUUGCGGGUAUUGACCCCUGCAGUGCCGCAGCUAACGCAUUAAGUACUCCGCCUGGGGAGUACGGUCGCAAGACUAAA
This 890-nucleotide ribosomal RNA is filed under the name uncultured bacterium. RNAcentral's name for it is "bacterial SSU rRNA". It matches the Rfam family "Bacterial small subunit ribosomal RNA", at positions 29 to 898 of the family's 1533-position model. The record is from RNAcentral.